This 72-nucleotide transfer RNA is filed under the name Lachnospiraceae bacterium. RNAcentral's name for it is "tRNA-Gln". It matches the Rfam family "tRNA". From Rfam's summary of the family: Transfer RNA (tRNA) molecules are approximately 80 nucleotides in length. RNAcentral also lists the same sequence under 1 other name. Lineage: Bacteria; Bacillati; Bacillota; Clostridia; Lachnospirales; Lachnospiraceae. The record is from RNAcentral.
UGGGCUAUAGCCAAGCGGUAAGGCACAGGACUUUGACUCCUGCAUUCGUUGGUCCGAAUCCAACUAGCCCAG